This 427-nucleotide long non-coding RNA is filed under the name Ananas comosus (pineapple). Its description in RNAcentral is "long non-coding RNA (ACOM_LNC000093)". The record is from RNAcentral. Lineage: Eukaryota; Viridiplantae; Streptophyta; Magnoliopsida; Poales; Bromeliaceae.
UUACAUUGCAUUGAAUGGUGCUUUAAAAUUAGCACAGAGUGAAAAAAAGGGUAAACUUUAAAUACCACACGUGUAGUUUCGCACUUUCUCAUUUUAGUGCCCCGUAGUUUAAAGUGUAUCAAGUUAGUGUUUUGAGAUUUAAUUUUUAUCUUUUUGUCAGCUUUUUUAUUAAUAUUUCGUUACAUUAUAUACAAAAAAUUUCAGAUAUCCGACCUAAGUUUAUCGAAUAUUCACUUUAGUAUUCUUUAAUUUUAACUUUGUCACUUAUUUAACGAAAAAAAUUAGUGAAAUCGAUAAUAAAAAGAUAAAAAUAAAACUAUAGGGCACUAAAUUGAUACACUUUAAACCACAAAGUAUUAAAGUGAGAAAAUGUAAAACUACGGGGGUGCUAUUUGAAGUUUUUCUCCAAAAAACGAUAAAAAAUAAU